Long non-coding RNA from Myodes glareolus (Bank vole), 701 nucleotides. RefSeq lists it as uncharacterized. NCBI's taxonomy places the organism in Eukaryota, Metazoa, Chordata, Mammalia, Rodentia, Cricetidae. The record is from RefSeq and is a predicted model, not a curated record.
UUCCCCCUAGUCCAGCCCGGCUCCGCCCUCUUGCCUAUCAAGAUGACAGCCCUACCCACUCGCAGGAUUGUACUAGCGUGGUCCUGGGUGCCCCAACCUGUGCCCCCCUACGGCGCCGCGUGUGCGGGUCGUAAUCUGGAAAAUCUGAAGCUCCCUAGGGUGGCCGGGCCGGGCUGAUGCAGUUGGUGGGGUUAAAAGUGCUUCUUCAGUGAGACUGGACUCCUAAGUGACUGCACCGUUCCGAGGGUGAGCUUCCAUGUGCUCCCCUGUAGAGAGCAGCGACCUCAAGCCUGCCUCCUAGGGCAGCGAGGGAAAACGAGAUCCCACGGCGGCGCGUGCCAGCCUCCCAAGUCGCUAGGAUGACAGGCCUGCCUGCCCCACCAGACCCAGUGAGAUGCUGUAUUUAGACAUGACCCAAGCUGCUGUCCAUUGGAGCCUGUUCAAAUGAAUGACUGGAGCCUUGCCAGCCUCUGAUGGCCACGUUGUAUGGAGCACUUCACAGCAAUGGAAGAAUGGGGACAUGAAGGCAGUGGUGCUUCGGGCAGCUCCACGAAAGACUGCUAAGGGGCCCUGCCUCCUGAAAGGUCCACCAACUCCCAAUGAUGUCAAACUGGUGACUGACUUCCAGCCUGUGGGCCUUGGAGGGGACACUUCAAAUCUAAACUAUAGCAGUGACCUCAUUAAAAUGGUAUUGAAAGUCG